UGGGGGAAUAUUGCACAAUGGGGGAAACCCUGAUGCAGCGACGCCGCGUGAGCGAAGAAGUAUUUCGGUAUGUAAAGCUCUAUCAGCAGGGAAGAAAAUGACGGUACCUGACUAAGAAGCCCCGGCUAACUACGUGCCAGCAGCCGCGGUAAUACGUAGGGGGCAAGCGUUAUCCGGAUUUACUGGGUGUAAAGGGAGCGUAGACGGAUGAGCAAGUCUGAUGUGAAGGUGGGGCUCAACUCCCAAACUGCAUUGGAAACUGUUCAUCUUGAGUGCCGGAGAGGUAAGCGGAAUUCCUAGUGUAGCGGUGAAAUGCGUAGAUAUUAGGAGGAACACCAGUGGCGAAGGCGGCUUACUGGACGGUAACUGACGUUGAGGCUCGAAAGCGGUGGGGAG
RNAcentral lists this ribosomal RNA (396 nucleotides) under uncultured Ruminococcus sp. RNAcentral describes it as "bacterial SSU rRNA". It matches the Rfam family "Bacterial small subunit ribosomal RNA", at positions 354 to 768 of the family's 1533-position model. The record is from RNAcentral. Lineage: Bacteria; Bacillati; Bacillota; Clostridia; Eubacteriales; Oscillospiraceae.